UUUUUUCUCCCUUUGUUAAAUAGAAGUGCAGCAAGAGGUGUGAGGCAAGAGAGAGUUUAGGAGAAUUUUUUUAAAUUUCUUACUUGCAAGAGCUCAAGUGAGCUCCCUUCGCCGGGCUGUUUCUUCGCCGACCGGCCACUAGGCUCUGAACCGAGAACGUGUACUCGUUCCUCCAUCUUCAGGCUACCAAACCCAACAAUCGAAAGGCCAAAGCCUUCUCUAUAUUUUCCUGACCAAAGGCCGCAAUAUCCUUCGGAGGCCAACGUCGAAUUCCCGACUUAGCCACCGGCCAACUUACGGCUUUCGUUUUCUCACUAUCCUUACGCGAAAAAGGAUUGAGAAAACACCGUUGUGUAGCCUGAUCUACCUCGCACGAGGAAGACUAAGUCGUAGACCUUCGCGGCUAAACACCAUCGCGGAACGACGACCAGAAAACCCCGACGAACAACUUCCAUUAGUGCUCACUUGGACAAGGGUAAGUUAACGCCCUUAUUUCGAUGCAUUCCCGUUUCUAUUAUAUUAUGGGAAAUUUCUGGGGUAUAGAUGGGAGUGUGGUGAAUAUUUGUACAAAGUUUCAUGUUAUUUGAACUUCGUUUACCACCCUUUUAAAAUUUGAGAAGUCUACUGCCCGUAUCUGUUGAAACUGUCGUGAGGCAGAUGAUUAGGUUAAUUAUUUCAGUAACCAUAUGUUGAUAUUUAGCUCUCAAAUUUUUAUUGUAUGAAGAUAUAUGUGUUAGCUAUCUUCAUAUAAAAUUUGAGGUUAUUCCGGUAACGUUUGCUAUUUUUCAAAAAUCUGGACUUUCAGUUGGCAGAAACUGCCGAAUCUGGUAGGCGAUGGGAAAAUCGCUAUAUCUCUUAAACUACUUGGAGUUUUUCAACAUACUUUUUUUUCAAUUAAACUAGACUCAAAGAGGUUUUUAUUGAUAUAAAAUUCGACUCCAUACGAGUUCGGAGUAAAAGCAGUUUAUUAGUUGAAGUUGAAUCUAUACAGUUUUGUUGAGAUGGAAAUGAUUCAAAAUAAUUCCUAUUAAGGAUUUUAAAGUUUAUUGUUGAUAAAAUAUCACUUUUAGAUUAUAAAUGAGCUAUUGAUGUGUAUAUAUAUAUAUUGGUGAUUGGACAUUAAUUAAAGUAGGGAAAAGGAAAACGUUUUAUGUUUAUAGAAUUAUUCUUUAUUUAUAAUAGAUAAAUAAAUGAAUAAUAUAAAAUGGAAUUUCCUACAUCCUCAAAGGUACAUGAAAUAUUUUGAUAAAGGAAGAACGAUUGUAUAUGAGUUAGAUAUAGUCGUUUAAGGAAAUAUGGGUAGUUAGAGAAAUGAGUGAAUAGUGAUUCACUGCAUUUGUUGUUAUCUUUUCUAUUAUUCACUCGAACACAUGUUUUCGUGUUAUCAAAGGUUCAAAUAAACAAAAGCGUCUGAGUAACCUAUCGCGCUAAGGAAAGAGAAUCAUUGUCUUAAGUAGCAAAACAC
Molecule: long non-coding RNA, 1465 nt
Filed under: Salvia miltiorrhiza (redroot sage)
Lineage: Eukaryota; Viridiplantae; Streptophyta; Magnoliopsida; Lamiales; Lamiaceae
Description: long non-coding RNA (SMIL_LNC006342)
Source: RNAcentral